Molecule: long non-coding RNA, 456 nt
Filed under: Brassica napus (rape)
Lineage: Eukaryota; Viridiplantae; Streptophyta; Magnoliopsida; Brassicales; Brassicaceae
Description: long non-coding RNA (BNAP_LNC019505)
Source: RNAcentral
GACCAAGUCAGCUACAACAAUCCCCAAAGAACUACUAAAAAGUCGCAUUAUCUUCCAUGACGGCCGUUUAGUUCGACGUCCAACGCCGUUAAACGCCAUUAUCACAUACCUCUGGCUUCCCUUCGGCUUCAUCAUCUCCAUCAUCCGUGUCUACUUUAACCUCCCUCUACCCAGAAACUUUGUCCAUUUCAUCUCCAUCAUCAUCGCCGUUAUCAAAACGAAGCAAGUGAGAAAAACUCAAUAAAGAAAAUAUCAUACGAGGUAAUCGAACGCUGUCAAUCAAACUACAUCUAUCAAAGCCCUAACUAGAUCUUAUACAAAAACUGGAAAUCGAAGAGAGAAUAAAGACUUACCAAGAAGGAGAUGGAGAUCAGAAGCGAGAAAGAAGAUGGAGGGAUUGGGAUUGGAGGAGGAAGAGAGAAAUUGUUUUCGACGAAGAGAGAGAAUGAAGAAAAU